CUGUCCCCUUUCUCCGACUCGUUGGUUGGAAUGUUUGAGUCUGACGUGGAUCAGGAAGCGACUGCUCAGAGAUUGGAGUGUGGGAAGACGGUUGCGUCUAGACCCAAGUUGCUAAUGCAGGAUGGCGCGAGUGAAUGGGAGAUCCCAGAACCUGAGGGAAAAAUUGGACGGAAAUGAGCUGGACCUGAGUCUGAGUGAUUUGAGUGAAGUGCCUGUUCGGGAUCUGGUGGCCAUUCCCAAGGCCAUUCCCAAGGCAACAGCUCUGGACCUUUCCUGUAACAAGCUGACUACCUUACCGGUGAGAUUCUGAACGGAGUUUAAAGGAAAACUAUACCCCCUGAACAAUAGGGUCUCUCUGAUUGUUCUGUAACUAUGACUUCCAGCAUCUCGUCCUACUCACAGCAGCAUAUGAUGCUCACUUGAGGCACAACAGAGGGUUAAAGGGUUAAAGAGGAGCAGGAGAGGGUGAUGAGAAGGAGGAUGAAGCAACAGCAGAAGGAACUCAAGAGAAGAGAUUACAACGCUAUGCAGAA
This is an RNA transcript of Xenopus laevis (African clawed frog), 533 nucleotides long. It is a transcript of the gene named leucine rich repeat containing 59 L homeolog, with no coding region annotated. The record is from RefSeq and is a predicted model, not a curated record. NCBI's taxonomy places the organism in Eukaryota, Metazoa, Chordata, Amphibia, Anura, Pipidae. The transcript has 4 exons.